Molecule: small RNA, 556 nt
Filed under: Pongo abelii (Sumatran orangutan)
Lineage: Eukaryota; Metazoa; Chordata; Mammalia; Primates; Hominidae
Description: processed transcript
Source: RNAcentral
UUGUCACCAAACUCUAACUGCAGAACUGGGAUGUGGAGCUGGAAGUGCCUCCUCUUCUGGGCUGUGCUGGUCACAGCCACACUCUGCACCGCUAGGCCAUCCCCAACCUUGCCUGAACAAGAUGCUCUCCCCUCCUCGGAGGAUGAUGAUGAUGAUGAUGACUCCUCUUCAGAGGAGAAAGAAACAGAUAACACCAAACCAAACCGUAUGCCCGUAGCUCCAUAUUGGACAUCCCCAGAAAAAAUGGAAAAGAAAUUGCAUGCAGUGCCGGCUGCCAAGACAGUGAAGUUCAAAUGCCCUUCCAGUGGGACCCCAAACCCCACACUGCGCUGGUUGAAAAAUGGCAAAGAAUUCAAACCUGACCACAGAAUUGGAGGCUACAAGAGCGGUCCCCUCACCGGCCCAUCCUGCAAGCAGGGUUGCCCGCCAACAAGACAGUGGCCCUGGGUAGCAACGUGGAGUUCAUGUGUAAGGUGUACAGUGAUCCGCAGCCGCACAUCCAGUGGCUAAAGCACAUCGAGGUGAACGGGAGCAAGAUUGGUCCAGACAACCUGCC